GGCACAAUGGGACAAACAUCUGCACAAUGGCUGCUCUGUCUGACUGCAGCGCUGUGCUGCACCGCCACUCCAGCUCGUCUGUCCCUGAGUCCCAGCAGCUCUCAGCUGUUUGAGGGACAGUUUGUCUCUCUGAGCUGUGAGGACGAGGACAGCUCUGAUGGAUGGACUCUGAGGAGGAACACAACCAGAGAAACCAGAG
Molecule: non-coding RNA, 199 nt
Organism: Plectropomus leopardus (leopard coralgrouper)
Lineage: Eukaryota; Metazoa; Chordata; Actinopteri; Perciformes; Serranidae
Source: RefSeq, a predicted model, not a curated record